GAUGAAGACGCAGCGAAAUGCGAUAAGUAAUGUGAAUUGCAGAAUUCAGUGAAUCAUCGAAUCUUUGAACGCACAUUGCGCCCCCUGGUAUUCCGGGGGGCAUGCCUGUCCGAGCGUCAUUACAACCCUCAAGCUCAGCUUGGUGUUGGGCCCCGCCGCCCCGGCGGGCCCUAAAGUCAGUGGCGGUGCCGUCCGGCUCCGAGCGUAGUAAUUCUUCUCGCUCUGGAGGUCCGGUCGUGUGCUCGCCAGCAACCCCCAAUUUUUUUCAGGUUGACCUCGGAUCAGGUAGGAAUACCCGCUGAACUUAAGCAUAUCAAUAAGCGGAGGA
Molecule: unclassified non-coding RNA, 328 nt
Filed under: soil metagenome
Description: partial contains 5.8S ribosomal RNA, internal transcribed spacer 2, and large subunit ribosomal RNA
Rfam family: 5.8S ribosomal RNA (bases 1-119)
Source: RNAcentral